Monopterus albus (swamp eel) is the source of this 341-nucleotide long non-coding RNA. RefSeq lists it as uncharacterized. The record is from RefSeq and is a predicted model, not a curated record. Lineage: Eukaryota; Metazoa; Chordata; Actinopteri; Synbranchiformes; Synbranchidae. The transcript is spliced from 3 exons.
GGGGGCAGUGUAAUGCAACAGUCUCAUCGUAUGGACGGAAGAAGGACAGCUGACAGUUGAAAGGUCCGAAAUGCCAAGAAAUACGAGGAAUGUGUUGUCACCUGUAAAUACCAUAUCUGCUGCUCCUCGGGAUACCAGACAGAUAAAAUCUCUAAAGGAAAACAAGACAGAGAGGGAGCAAGAAAGAGAGGCUAUAAGAGACUGUAGACAAGCAGUCUUUAUUUCUUGAACAAGAUGCAUGAAGAGACAGAGCUAAGAUGAGUGGGAGGAAAUUAUAGCUACCAAAGUGUGAUGAUUUGACAGCACGUAUCCAAAGCAGACCUAACUGCUUCCUUACGCUG